Molecule: small RNA, 28 nt
Filed under: Bombyx mori (domestic silkworm)
Lineage: Eukaryota; Metazoa; Arthropoda; Insecta; Lepidoptera; Bombycidae
Description: ovarian small RNA-17178
Source: RNAcentral
GGAAAUAAUACACAAAGCCCUCCAUUCU